RNAcentral lists this ribosomal RNA (513 nucleotides) under uncultured bacterium. Its description in RNAcentral is "partial 16S ribosomal RNA". It matches the Rfam family "Bacterial small subunit ribosomal RNA", at positions 28 to 523 of the family's 1533-position model. The record is from RNAcentral.
GAUGAACGCUGGCGGCGUGCCUAAUACAUGCAAGUCGAACGCGCAGCGAAAGGUGCUUGCACCUUUCAAGCGAGUGGCGAACGGGUGAGUAACACGUGGAUAACCUGCCUCAAGGCUGGGGAUAACAUUUGGAAACAGAUGCUAAUACCGAAUAAAACUUAGUAUCGCAUGAUAUAAAGUUAAAAGGCGCUACGGCGUCACCUAGAGAUGGAUCCGCGGUGCAUUAGUUAGUUGGUGGGGUAAAGGCUUACCAAGACAAUGAUGCAUAGCCGAGUUGAGAGACUGAUCGGCCAAAUUGGGACUGAGACACGGCCCAAACGCCUACGGGAGGCUGCAGUAGGGAAUCUUCCACAAUGGGCGCAAGCCUGAUGGAGCAACGCCGCGUGUGUGAUGAAGGCUUUCGGGUCGUAAAGCACUGUUGUAUGGGAAGAAAUGCUAAAAUAGGGAAUGAUUUUAGUUUGACGGUACCAUACCAGAAAGGGACGGCUAAAUACGUGCCAGCCGCCGCAGUAA